Molecule: ribosomal RNA, 254 nt
Filed under: uncultured bacterium
Lineage: Bacteria
Description: partial 16S ribosomal RNA
Rfam family: Bacterial small subunit ribosomal RNA
Source: RNAcentral
GACGAACCGUGCGAACGUUAUUCGGAAUCACUGGGCUUAAAGCGCGUGUAGGCGGGCCGCCGCGUCGGCUGCUGAAAUCCCCCGGCUCAACCGGGGAACGGGCACCGAUACGGGCGGCCUCGAGGGGGGUAGGGGGACCUGGAACUUCCGGUGGAGCGGUGAAAUGCGUUGAGAUCGGAAGGAACGCCCGUGGCGAAAGCGAGGUCCUGGACCCUUUCUGACGCUGAGACGCGAAAGCCAGGGGAGCGAACGGG